UAAAAGGCCCUUCUCAGGGCCCCCAUAUUUUGCAAACGGAGCCGUGU
Molecule: non-coding RNA, 47 nt
Organism: Ixodes scapularis (black-legged tick)
Lineage: Eukaryota; Metazoa; Arthropoda; Arachnida; Ixodida; Ixodidae
Source: Rfam